Molecule: ribosomal RNA, 253 nt
Filed under: uncultured bacterium
Lineage: Bacteria
Description: partial 16S ribosomal RNA
Rfam family: Bacterial small subunit ribosomal RNA
Source: RNAcentral
UACGUAGGGUGCAAGCGUUAAUCGGAAUUACUGGGCGUAAAGCGUGCGCAGGCGGUUGUGCAAGACAGAUGUGAAAUCCCCGGGCUUAACCUGGGAAUUGCAUUUGUGACUGCACGGCUAGAGUGUGUCAGAGGGGGGUAGAAUUCCACGUGUAGCAGUGAAAUGCGUAGAUAUGUGGAGGAACACCGAUGGCGAAGGCAGCCCCCUGGGUCAAGACUGACGCUCAUGCACGAAAGCGUGGGGAGCAAACAGG